Bos taurus (domestic cattle) is the source of this 72-nucleotide non-coding RNA. Lineage: Eukaryota; Metazoa; Chordata; Mammalia; Artiodactyla; Bovidae. The record is from Rfam.
UCCCUAGUGGUCUAGUGGUUAGGAUUUGGCACUUUCACAGCUGAGGCCUGGGUUCAAUCCCUUGUCAGGGAA